UAGUCCACGCCGUAAACGAUGGAUACUAGCUGUUUGACCAACAGGAUAAGUGGCUAAGCGAAAGUGAUAAGUAUCCCACCUGGGGAGUACGUCGGCAACGAUGAAACUCAAAGGAAUUGACGGGGGCCCGCACAAGCGGUGGAGCAUGUGGUUUAAUUCGAUGAUACGCGAGGAACCUUACCAGGGCUUAAAUGUAGAGUGAUAGGUCUAGAGAUAGAUUUUUCUUCGGACACUUUACAAGGUGCUGCAUGGUUGUCGUCAGCUCGUGCCGUGAGGUGUCAGGUUAAGUCCUAUAACGAGCGCAACCCCUGUUGUUAGUUGCCAGCAUGUAAAGAUGGGAACUCUAGCAAGACUGCCGGUGCAAACCGUGAGGAAGGUGGGGAUGACGUCAAAUCAUCACGGCCCUUACGUCCUGGGCUACACACGUGCUACAAUGGUAGGUACAGAGAGCAGCCACUUCGCGAGAAGGAGCAAAUCUACAAAGCCUAUCACAGUUCGGAUC
Molecule: ribosomal RNA, 502 nt
Filed under: uncultured bacterium
Lineage: Bacteria
Description: bacterial SSU rRNA
Rfam family: Bacterial small subunit ribosomal RNA
Source: RNAcentral